AUAAGAAGAAAGUAAGAAAGGGCGUAUGGCGGAUGCCUAGGCUCACAGAGGCGAUGAAGGACGUGAUAAGCUGCGAUAAGCUGCGGGUAGGUGCAAAUAACCUUUGAUCCGCAGAUUUCCGAAUGGGACAACCCGGCCGUCUGAAGGACGGUCACUCACGCUAAGCGUGAGAGCUAACGCAGGGAACUGAAACAUCUUAGUACCUGUAGGAAGAGAAAAUAAAUAAUGAUUCCCUUAGUAGUGGCGAGCGAACGGGGAACAGCCCAAACCGUGACUGUGGCAACGCAGCCGCGGGGUAGUAGG
RNAcentral lists this ribosomal RNA (303 nucleotides) under Porphyromonadaceae bacterium. Its description in RNAcentral is "partial 23S ribosomal RNA". It matches the Rfam family "Bacterial large subunit ribosomal RNA", at positions 1 to 304 of the family's 2925-position model. Lineage: Bacteria; Pseudomonadati; Bacteroidota; Bacteroidia; Bacteroidales; Porphyromonadaceae. The record is from RNAcentral.